This 353-nucleotide ribosomal RNA is filed under the name uncultured bacterium. RNAcentral describes it as "bacterial SSU rRNA". It matches the Rfam family "Bacterial small subunit ribosomal RNA", at positions 29 to 402 of the family's 1533-position model. The record is from RNAcentral.
AACGAACGCUGGCGGCAGGCUUAACACAUGCAAGUCGGACGCAUGUCUUCGGACAUGAGUGGCAGACGGGUGAGUAACGCGUGGGAAUCUACCCUUUGGUACGGGAUAGCUCCGGGAAACUGGGAUUAAUACCGUAUGUGCCCUGGACUUAAGGUUUGGGGAAGAUUGAUCGCCAAGGAUGAGCCCGCGUCGGAUUAGCUAGUUGGUGGGUAAAGGCCCACCAAGGUCGACGAUCCGUAGCUGGUCUGAGAGGAUGACCAGCCACAUUGGGACUGAGACACGGCCCAAACUCCUACGGGAGGCAGCAGUGGGAUAUUGGACAAUGGCGCAAGCCUGAUCCAGCCAUGCCGCGU